RNAcentral lists this long non-coding RNA (9665 nucleotides) under Gossypium barbadense (sea-island cotton). RNAcentral's name for it is "long non-coding RNA (GBAR_LNC016449)". Lineage: Eukaryota; Viridiplantae; Streptophyta; Magnoliopsida; Malvales; Malvaceae. The record is from RNAcentral.
AAAAACAAAAGGAAAAACAAAAUCUAUCACCUUCAAAAAACGUUUUUCUCCUGUAAUUUUUUUUAAUUUUCAAUACAAAAUUUUGCUAACCCCCAUUACAUAAAUUCAUCCGCUUUUUAUAUCCCCCUAUCCCUUUUUACAAUUUUCUGUCUGUACUCCUAUUUGGAUCUAUUUUUCCGUAGGUAUGGAGAUCGUGAAAGGGGUGCGUCGGGGUUGCUGAACGUGCGAGCAACGACGUGCAUGGAAACGGUUGCUGCGGCGCCAAAGCUGGGAAGAAGACUGCUGCUAAGGUUUGUUGUUCUUUGAAAAAUUUUGGGCUGUACAGGGUUAUUGAUUUGGGCUUUAUUGGGUUAGGUUAAAUUUAGUUUUAGGCUAAUGUAAUUGGGUUACAAUUUGGGCUUGUUAUUUGUUUUUUUAACCAGGCCAAAAUUGGCCUAUUACAGCUGCCCCUCUUUGCCCGUUAUCGUGUAACUAGAACAGAGCAAAGACUUUAAAAAUGACCAAUUUUGCCUGGUCAUGUUGGACUUCAGGGCUCUUUUCCUUCAAGUAGCUUCAUUCCAUCCUACUGCAUCUUCAGAUGUAUAAGAACUGGUGUUUCAAUCCACAUCACUGCAACAACAAGAAAUAGGAGUUGUAUCUUGUAGCUUCUCAAAAGAAUAAAAUUUGCUAUCUCUAGUCCGCUCCACUACAACUUCAAUGAGAUAAGACUGGAUGCGAUUUUCUCUUCUGUAACUUCAAAAAGAUGAGAUCUGUCAUGGGGAUUUAAUCUGACCUACUGCAACUUCAUAGGUAUAGGAUUAUUUUCUUCAAUUUCUUUAACUGUAAUGUCGGGAAAACAAGAUUUUCCAUUGUGACUUCAAUCUAUUCCGCUACACCGCCAGGGAGGUAAGAUCCGCCGUUAUGGCUUCAAUCUUUUAAAUCGUAAUGUCGAGAGAACCAGUCCGCCGUUGUAGCUUCAAUCUGUUCCUCUGCACCGCCAGGGAGAUAAGAUCUGCCGUGUGGCUUCAAUCUUUUAAAUUGCAAUGUCGGGGAAAUAAGACUCGCUGUCGUGGCUUCAAUCUGUUCCACUGCACUGCCAGGGAAGUAAGAUCCGCCGUUGUGGCUUCAAUCUUUUUAAUCGUAAUUUCGGGGAAACCAGAUUCGCCAUCGUGACUUCAAUCUGUUCCACUGCACUGCCAAGGAAGUAAGAUCCGUCGUUGUGGCUUCAAUCUUUAUAAUUGCAAUGUCGGGGAAACAAGAUUCGCCGUCGUGACUUCAAUCUGCUCCACUAGACUGCCAAGGAAAUAAGAUCCGUCUUUGUGGCUUCAAUCUUUUUAAUUGCAACGUCAUGGCGAUAAGACUAAUGUCUUCGAUCUGCUUCACUGCCAGUACAGGAAGGCAAGAUCUGCCAUUUUCGACCUACUCAACUGCUGCCCAGGGAGACAAGGCUAGUAUCUUUGAUAUACUUCGCUGCCAAUACAGGAAGACAAGAUCUGCUAUUUUCAACCUAUUCCACUGCUACUUAAGGAGAUAAAGCUGAAGUUUCACUGGUUUGUUCUCUAGGGAACAUGACCUAUAUAAUUCAAUUUAUGAACCUAACUAUUCCUAGCGAUUAGGAUGUCAUGAUCAGAAUGAAUCAAAUACUCUUAACUAGACAUGUAUGAAUGACAUUUGAAUGAAUGCAGAAUGUCAUUUUUUUCGAGAAUAAUUCCUCUUUAAAGCUUAGGUUGUCAUUACUCAAAGUUUAUUUAGGCUUUAUCAUUGAUGUGCUAUAACGCAUUCUUGCUCAACUAGCAUCUCUGAAAAACACUUAAUCAAAUUGCCCCCUACUGUGAACUUCAAAGUUCAAUCCACUGGGACGCAAAAUUUUGUACCAUCUUUCUCCCGUUGUAACCCAAGGAUAGAAAAAUCUGGUAUUUUCUCAAUCCUUUCCUAUCACAAUUCAAGGAUGUAGAAUGUAAGAUUCUUUGGUCCUUUACACCAUUCCCAAGGUUAUACCAAAUGCUCAUGCACAAAUGAUCAUUGCUUGUUUUUUCAUUGACGCUUUGUCACCAACACAACAUCUUGUCACUUUGUUCAAUCAAUGCUUUUGACAACAAAAUCCAAAGAGAUAGUCUUAAUUAGACUCUUCCUUCUCAGAUUUCCAACCUUUAAACUAGGUGCGUUCUAAACAAAAGUCUUGUUUCAGGUUCCGUAUUAUUUAAAAACUUCUAGAGUAAUAUGCAAAACCUCCCUUGUGAAAGUUUUAUUAGUCCAUUAAUCAUUAUUCUAAUGCAACACGCUUGCAAAAAAGAACAAAACUAUGAAUAAAAUGGAAUUAAUUUGAAAGCAUAACUUGCAAUGAACAAAUUAUCAAGAAUAUUGAGAAUAAAAGAGGAAUUGACUUGUAUUUUGAAAAAGAAUGAAGUAUUCCCAGAACAAGCAAUUCAAUAUGAAUAGUAUGAAAAUCAAGUGCCCCAGAUAUCACAGCUUGAACUUUUCUGUACAAACUUGCUGAAGAUCAUUCUGAGUUUGACAUGUGUUUAGAAGAUCUACAGUACUCUGUCAAUGCCUCAAGAUGUCGCAUACCCUUUCCUGCUGAUUCAGGUAUUACAAGACCACCACAUGCCCCAUUCUGAUCAACAUUCGAGUAACUCUGAUCACCUAAUGCCUCAUUUUGAUCCAAAAUUUGAGCCGCCCUUUUUGGGUUUUCAACUCAAAUCCCCUUUGGUCUCAAGGCGCCCUUUGCGGGUUUUCACCUUAGCCUCUCCAUUUUCAUUUUUCCAUUUUUCAUUUUCAUUUUUUCACAUCUCUUUUCUUCUCUUCUCUUUUUUUUUCACUCAAAGUGCCCUUUGCGGGUUUUUACCUUAGUCUUCUCCUUUCUUAAGUGAAAUAUUUCUUGAUUGAAUCUGAGUUUACAAGAUUAAACCAGUUUUUUACUAUCCAUCUCACUUAAUAUCAGUGCUCCUCCGGAAAAGGUCUUCUUUACAACAUAAGGAUAUUCCCACUUUGGCACUCAUUUUUCUCUAAAAUCCUUUUGAAGAGGAAGGAUCUUUUCAAUACCAGGUCUCCCUCGUGGAAUUCUCCGAGUCGAACUUUUUUGUUGUAAGCUCGCAUCAUCCGUUUUUUAGUACAUCUGACCGUGACGAAUAGCUUUUAGCCUUUUUCCUUCAAUUAAGUUCAACUGAUCGUAUUGAGAUUGGAUCUUCAUCCUACUUCAGCUUAGCCAAUACCCAGAGAAAAAGAAUUUCAACUUCAAUAGAAAAACCGUAAUAAGCUAGAGAGAAAGACAUUGCCCUGGUGGAGGUUUUUUUUUUCUUUUUGUUUUUACUUUUUUUUGUUCUUCUUUUGUUCUCUUUUUUCCCCUUUUUUUGUUUUUUUUGUUUUGUUUGGAUUGAAUCUGCACUCAUAGGAUUAGGCAAGUCCUGGUCAUCCCUUUCGAUCAGAAUUAAUGUUAUUCCAGAUAAGGUCUUCCCCAUAAGAUCUUCCACUUUCAUUUUGUAUGCGAAAAAUCUUAUUUGGCAUCAGGUUUCUCUCAUAGAGCCUUUUGGGGCGAAACUUAACUAUGACGAGAAAACUUUGAAUCUUCCUCUUCAAUUAAGAUGAAAUCCAACAAAAAUGUAUUACCCUGGCAAAGAAUUCUGACUGCAUCGUUCAUGAUGUUAAUCUUGAACAUACUGCAAAAUUCUGACGUUGUGGUGUUGCUCAUUUUACAAUAUCAGUGCUUAACAUAGGCAUGUCCUGGUAUAACCAUACGAAGACAUCUUUGAACUCUUGAAGUAACUUAACAAGGUCUUACUUCGUUCCUCCGGUUAUGCAUGUUCCCUCGAGGUCACGAUCUCCACUGACUCCUCAUGAGGUAAAUUUGUCAUCUUCUUACUCUACCAUCCUCAACAAGUCCAGAGUAAGCUACAAUCUACAUCAUUUCCAAAGUCAUGAAAUCUUUCUAAAACAUGUCUCGCUUAAAAGGAGAUUCUAAAUCUGUAGCAGUGUCACUCACAUCAUUGAUAUCUGGAGACCUAUAGUAGGCACCAAAAAAUACACAUAAGAAUGUAUGAAUUUGUACAAUAUGAUUAUGAAUGAAUGAAAGAAUGAUGUGGAAGCAAAUCCAAAAGAAUGAAAGAACAAUUAUUCAAAAAAGAAUGAAAGAAUAUUGGUUCAAAAAUGAUUGCAAGGAUGCAUUUCAUUAAAAUAACGACAUUCAGAUAUGAACCUAUUUCACAAAGGAAUUCUUAUUGCCUCUAGGCUAAAAGCAACAAGUGUGUUUCGAACAUUACUUUGAGUAGGCUCUAAAAACUACGGGAAUUUCCUCCGCAGUUUAAUUAUUUAGAACAUCUCCAAGUUGAUAAGGGCAGAUCUCUAACAAGGUCCCUCCUUCAGUUGUGCCUAUGGCAUUGAUACGAACACUUUCUAACUUUUCCUCAUACAUCAACAUGAUUGGGUAGUGGAAUUUUUUGUACUGGAUGAUAAAUCAUCAAACUUGACAACACCCAUGUUAAUGAUUCUUUUAACUAGCCUUUUGAAGGUAGUGCAAUUCUCUAUUGAGUGCCUUGUAGUUCCCGCAUGAUAAUCGCAUUAUGCACUUGCAUUGUACCAUUUGGGGUACAGAGGCUGUGGAGGCUUCACAUGAAAAGGGGAAACAACAUGUGCAUCAAAUAAGCUUUGAUACAGCUCCUUAUAUGACAUUGGAAUUGGCGUGAACUGGAGCUUCUCAAUAUAUUACUUCACACCUGAUUCUUGUUUUGAUGAACCCUACUGAUUAGCAACCACCUUUCUUGGCUGAUUCACCGUAAUCGAUUUGCUGAACAAAUUCACACUGUUCACCUCAUUUUCUUUUUCCUUUAGGGGUUGCCUUCUGCUAUGUCCUCCAGCAUCAAUCUUUCCGCUUCUUAUGGCGCUUUCAAUCAUUUCACCAUUCAUGACUAUGUCAGACAAGCUUUUUGUGGCACUUCCUAACAUAUGUGUGAUGAACGGAGCUUUCAAUGUAUUUAUAAAGAGCAUUGACAUUUCUCUUUCCAAGAGCAGUGGCUGAACUUGGACGGUGAUCUCCCAACACCUUUGUGCGUACUGCCUAAAACCUUCAUUCUACUUCUUCUCCAUGCUUUGCAAGGUAAUUCUAUCAGGAACCAUUUCUGCUACAUGACUGUACUGCUUCAUAAAAGCCUGUGCCAAAUCUCUCCAAGAACUAAUCCUGGUACGGCUCAAUUGAUUGUACCAUUUAGACGCUGCUCCUGUGAGGCUAUCCUAGAAGCAAUGUAUUAAUAGUUGAUCAUUAUUGACAUACCCAGUCAUUCGCGUACAAAACAUGGUGAUGUGGGCUUCAGGGCAACUGGUCCCGUUAUACUUCUCGAACUCUGGCAUCUUGAACUUGUAAGGGAGCACCAAGUCUGGAACCAAACUCAAAUCCUUAGCAUCAAUCUCACCAUAUCUAUUAGUGCUUUCCAUCACCCUGAAUUUCUCUUCAAUCUAUUUCCACCUUUCCUCUAGUUGUUUUGGUAAUUCCUCUUUUGUCUUUCCUUUUUCGACUGCCUCAUCGAAGUCAGGGAUAAUGGGGUUGACAAGAUUAUUCUCAGGGCUAGAGCCUGAUCCAGCUUGGAAAUUCAUUGACCUUGAAGCAUCAACCUAAAACUGCUGAGGCCUAAUGGUGACAGAAGAUUUGCAUGGGUAUACUUCAGUUUGGGGCUGCACAUGUGGGGAAGUAAAGCCUGGAGGAUACAGGGGUCCGCCAUCACCUUCCUCUUCGACAUUAGCCAUAGGGCUUUUUCCUUUAUCAUUUCCUUCUGUCAACAGUCGUGUUAACUGUGAUAUCAUACUCCCUUGAGAUUCUACCAUUUUGUUCAUCAUUUUUUGUUGGAUCUUCUCAAACUGCUCUUGCAUUUUCUGCUAAAGUUGAUCCUGUAUUUCUUUUUGGAACUGCUCGAGCUUUUCCAACCUUUGAUCCAUAUUCUUUGAUUUCGCUCUUGUACCAUAACGGUGUUGGGUUGACUGGUUAGUUUCCAGGUUAACUGAGGAAUGAUUUUAACCAAUUAGGGCUUUUUAAUGGAUUUUAAUGCAUAUGAUGUCAUGCAAUGCAAAUGCAUGAAAUGAAUGCAUAAAAGAGACGUUGAUUCUGAUUCAAUUGCAUUUAGAAAACUUUACUAGAAUACAAAUUUCUUUACAUAAAGCAAAAAUAUAUACGGCCUCGCCUUUAUACUCUAAGAAACAUUGAUCUCUUUCUUCAUUUGCAUGUUUAAGAUAAAACUCACAAAUUUCCAAUGGAUGCCACUACUAACUCCUUUUUGCUUGAUCCGGGUCACAACUCUUUGUUCGCUCAUGCUCAUUAACUUCUUUUAGAAAGGUUGGGACAUUUGAUGACUCUUGAAUAAUCUUCGUCAACUUGAAUCCUUGGACCAUAUCCGGACAACCAUAUCCGGACCAUAUCCGGGUCACAACCAUAUCCUUGAAUCGUGUAGUCCUCCAUAAACUAUCAUCCUUCUCUUAUCACGUUUUCUUGGACCAUAUCCGGACAACCAUAAUGUCAUCCACUUUAUCAAGAAACCUAUUUUCUUAUGAAAAGCUCUCUAUUUAGCAACUGAACGUGAAUCAACGCCUUUUAGGAUGAAAUGCUAUGCAGUCAUAAUGUCAUGCAAUCAAAGCAAAUCACAACAAGUUAGUAUUAGGUAUAAACAUUAAAUCCAAUACAAUAAAUAAUAAUAAUAAAACUCCUAGUCAGGUAUCUACUAAGGUUAAAAGUAAUUCUACCUAAGGUGAGUUCCUACAAGUUCACUAUAUGAGGUUUGGCUUCUAGAGCAAAGGUACCCGAACCAGUAAAUUCCUCGAUCCUAACCCAUUAUAGGCUCAUAUGGACCGAGUUUGGUUCAGGGGAAUACAUUUCCCUAUGGCUAAACGGAGAUGAAAAUCUCACGAAGACAUAAGUACGGAUGUAUCCCGAAAGUAAUCCACUAUCCUACACAGAGGUGAAAACCUCACGAAGGAAUAGCUUCUCACUCCCACUUAGAGGGGUAAAAUCGUCUAUGCAAUGCAAAAUGCAAAUAGACUAACAAACUUAGACCAAUUAAACAAACAUAUCAUGAUAAAAAUCAAGGAAUGCAAAAGAGGAAAUCGUGAUUUAAAACAAAUUUGAAACCUUUUCGACAAAAAGACAAAAGCUAAUCAAUUUAUGGCUCGACUCUCGAAAGUCCCCAGUGGAGUCGCCAAGCUGUCGAAACCAUUUUUUGAUAAAACAAAAAUUUAGUUGUCGACUUUAAAAACAAAAACUAGAGUCGUCACUGAUCCUUUAUCGAGGUGUGAUCGGUUCACCUAAAAAAUAGUUUUGGCCUACGAAUUUUGAGAAAAUAGGUUCGGGAGUCAGUUACGCACGAGGAAGGGUUAGCACCCUCGUAACGCCCAAAAAUCGGUACCAAAUUGAUUAUUUAAUGUCUUAGUGUCGAGGAUUUAAAAAUAUCAUAAAAAAAACUCAAAUGAUGAAACUUGAAAAGGAUAAUCAAUUGUUCAAGCUGGAUAAAGAAAUCGAGACCCAAUACAUUAGGGUACAAUUUCUCAAAACCCCCGAACUUUGAAUAUCACUUUUUAGUUUUUUAGAAAAUCUUCAUUUCGAGAAAGCAAAUGUUGCCCAAACGUUAGGACACCACAAUAAGUUCCGAAAAUGUUUUUAAACUUAUGCGUUUUGAUAACGAAUAUUCCGGUUAUUUGGAAUAACGAAUAAAAUCGGAACCAAGACGUUAGGGCUCAAUUUUCUCAAAAAUCCCUAACUUUAAUAUCAUUUAUAUAAAAGCCUUUGAAUAAAAAUAAAAUAAAAAAAUAAAAAAUGAUUUUAAUGUUUUGAUAAAAUCAAAAUAUAUUUUUAAAAGAUAUGUUAAAAAAUGUGAAUGCAAUAUGAAACAAAAAUUUAAUUUAAAUUAUAUGUAUACAUAAGUAUGAUAUAUAAAUGAAUUUGCACAAAUAGUAUAUGGAUAUGAGAGAAAAAAAUGCAUAGUUAAAUGGAAUAUCUAUAUGAAUACAAAGAAGAAGAAUAAUAUAAUAAAACACAUAUAAAAUAUACCCAUUUAAAAAAAAGUUAAAUAUAAAAGAAUAUAAAAAAUGGAAAAUAUUUAUAAAGCUUGAUAAGUAAAAUAUAUAUAACAUCUAAAAAAAACAUAAUAAAUUAUAAAAGUAUUAAAAUAAAAUAUAAUUCCUAAAACAAAAAAAAAAAACAAGAAAGGGAGCAAAUUAAACAUGCAUAAGUGGAGGAGGCCCAAAAAACAAUUACCCAUAACUACCCAAAGCAUUGCGCAACAUUGGAUUAAAUCAAAACAUUAAUGUUUCAUGAAAAAUUUUGAAAUUAUGAAAUAAAAUGUGUAUAUUUAUAUAUAAAAACUGUAAAAAUAAUAAUAAUAAAAUAUGUAUAUAAAAAUAUAUUUAAAACGUUUUUAAAAAUAUAUAUAAAUCUGUAUUAAUAUGCAUAUGCGCAUAUAAAUAAGUAUAUAAUAAUAUAUCAUAAUAAACUAAACAAUACAGUAUAAUAAAUAAACAGUAUUAAAAAUAAUAAUAAAUAAAUAAAACAAAUAAAAAACUAAAGGUUAAGUAAAAAAAAAGGCAGAAUUUAAAGGUUAAAUUCCUAAAACAAAAAAAAAAACAAGAAAGGGAGCAAAUUAAAACAUGCAUAAGUGGAGGAGGCCCAAAAAACAAUUUACCCAAACUACCCAAAGCAUUGCGCAACAUUGGAUUAAAUCAAAACAUUAAUAAUGUUUCAUGAAAAAUUUUGAAACUAAUAAAAAGAAGCGAUUUUGAAAAUAAUAGAAACAUGAAGGGCCCGAAUUAUAAAUAACCCAUCAACUUAAAACAUGCGGAUCUAAUCGGGUUUUGGGUCAGGUCAUACGGGCAUUCAGGUACACCAAAUACGGCGCCGUUUUUUAAAUCAAAUAAAACCCCUUUUCCAACCCUAAAAACCAUUUUCUUUCUUUCUUUGAAGUUGCGCCGUAUCUCUGCCCUCAAAACCCUUCCCCUGCUCCAAUGGCAACGAAAUGAAGGGGCUUCAACGAUGCCACUCCGGUAAGUUUCCCUCUACUCCCUUUCUUUAUUCUUUUUUUUUUGUUUUUAUAAACGAAAGAAAAACAAAAACAAAGUAAAAACAGUAAAAAACAAAAGGAAAAACAAAAUCUAACACCUUCAAAAAUAAGUUUUUCUACUGUAAUUUCUUUUUUAAUUUUCAAUACAAAAUUUUGCUAACCCCCAUUACAUAAAUCCAUCCGCUUUUUAUAUCCCCUAUCCCUUUUUACAAUUUUCUGUCUGUACUCCUAUUUGGAUCUAUUUUUCCGCAGGUAUGGAGAUCGUGAAAGGGGUGCGUCGGGGUUGCUGAACGUGCGAGCAACGACGUGCGUGGAAACGGUUGUUGCGACGCCAAAGCUAGGAAGAAGACUGCUGCUAAGGUUUGUUGUUCUUUGAAAAUUUUGGGCUGUACAGGGUUAUUGAUUUGGGCUUUAUUGGGUUAGGUUAAAUUUAGUUUUAGGCUAAUGUAAUUGGGUUACAAUUUGGGCUUGUUAUUUGUUUUUUUAACCAAGACAAAAUUGGCCUAUUACAUUAGGCAUGAUUCUUAUCUAGUGAAUACUACUCUAAAAAAGAAGCAGUGUUCUUAUCUCCCAAUAGAUAAAUGAUUUUUAAUAUACCAACCACUUUGUAGAGACCUUUAAUUGGUGCUUCAAGAUAUAUAUAACUAACUAUAUUCCUAA